AUUGAACGCUGGCGGCAGGCCUAACACAUGCAAGUCGAGCGGAGCGGCGGACGGGUGAGUAAUGCCUAGGAAUCUGCCUGGUAGUGGGGGAUACCGUCCGGAAACGGGCGCUAAUACCGCAUACUAUCAGAUGAGCCUGGGUCGGAUUAGCUAGUUGGUGGGGUAAAGGCCUACCAAGGCGACUAUCCGUAAGUGGUCUGAGAGGAUGAUCAGUCAAACUGGAACUGAGACACGGUCGAGACUCCUACGGGGGGCAGCAGUGGGGGAUAUUGGACAAUGGGCUGAAGCCUGAAUCAGCCAAUCCGGGUGUGUGGAGAAGGUCUUCGGAUUGUAAAGCACUUUAAGUUGGGAGGCGUUACCAACAGAAUAAGCACCGGCUAACUUCGUGCCAGCAGCCGCGGUAAUAC
RNAcentral lists this ribosomal RNA (407 nucleotides) under uncultured bacterium. RNAcentral's name for it is "partial 16S ribosomal RNA". It matches the Rfam family "Bacterial small subunit ribosomal RNA", at positions 30 to 526 of the family's 1533-position model. The record is from RNAcentral.